Long non-coding RNA from Vicia villosa (hairy vetch), 1588 nucleotides. RefSeq lists it as uncharacterized. The record is from RefSeq and is a predicted model, not a curated record. Lineage: Eukaryota; Viridiplantae; Streptophyta; Magnoliopsida; Fabales; Fabaceae. The transcript has 3 exons.
CUUUCUAUCAGCCGCCAAAACUCAACAACCACCAAAACUCUCACGUCUCCUCAUUCGAUCGACUCAACCCUCGUCUCUCAUUCUCUCACAUCUCCAUUUCUGAACGGUGGUUAGACUCAUUCAACCAUCUUCUUCAUUCAAUCUCACAACCAUGAAUACAGGCCAGCUUCGUCGUCUUCUUCUCGUCUUCGUAACUUCCGGCGCCGCUAGAUAACCACCACCAUCACCGCCUUCGCUUGAAUCAAAGGUCUCGGAACACCAAUCACAUCCGAAGUACAUCAUUCCUCCAUUUCAACCGCGAUUUUGAUUCUUAACACAAAACCCUAGGUUCUUUACGGACAGAAUUGAACAUUCACCGUCACAAAUUGAGCUCAAUUCCUUGGGGGUUCGAUUCACCAUAGCAUAAGCUUCGUGUUGGUGACAAGAACUAAGCAAAGCGGUGAAGUAAAGAAUGAGUUCGGCAGUUACCUAUCAGAGAUUAACAAAUGCAAUUUCGACAACGACGAAGAGAAAAAGAAAACCAGAUGCUCCGCCUUUCAGGGUAAACCAAGAGAUAACACACAGAGAUGAUGUAACUUUUUGGCUGAUACUUUGUCAAUAGGUUUAUGAAUACUAGAACAUAGAUGUGAGCUCAUCCCAAUUGAUGCCAAUUUAUCAUUUCCUUAGUCCUGAACCGUGUUGUCAAUGCAGGUUUCAUAGGAGAUGACAAGGAGACUUUUGAGACAUUUGAAUCUAUGGAGUUUGGACUACUCUUUUUCUAGAGGAACUGCUCAUUUACUUGCAAAGAUCUUGACUAUCAACAAACUCUAAGGUACAUGGUUUCAUUCGUGAUUGAGUUUUACACCGUUUAUUGUCACCACAUGUUUGGUUGAACACUGGUGGUUUCCUUGACAGGGGUACAACUUGCUGUUAACAACCAUGCGUGGUGAUUUUACUGUGUUUCAUUUCCAGUCAAAUUAUCUGGCUUUGCUUUCAGUGCCAACGGGUGGGUUCAAUCCUAUGGAUCCCACUAUGUCAAACAAGCAAUUAUCUAUGGUGAUGUGAGUCGUCCCAAGCCAAUGACUGUUUUCUGGUCUUCGACAGCUCAAAGUUUGACAAAGCGACCUAUGAAGGGAAUGCUUACUGGCCCUGUUACAAUUCUGAACUGGUCCUUUGUUAGAGAUGACCAACCUUGAUUUGAGACUUGCUACCAGAUUGCGUUGGCUAUAAAGGAUGAGGUUGAGGAUCUUGAGAAAGCUAGCAUUACUGUCAUCCAAAUCGACGAGGCUGCUUUAAGAGAAGGUUUGCCUCUAAGGAAAUCUGAGGAGGCUUUCUAUCUAAACUGGGCAGUUCACUCAUUUAGGAUUACAAACUGUGGUGUGCAAGACACUACCCAGGUUCAACUUCACUUCACGGGCUCUAAUCUUCAUUAAUGAUUAUUAUGCAGUUUAUUUACUAAGCUUGUAUUAAUUCUAACAACAUUUCUACAAGAGGAUUACAACAAGUGUCAAAAUUGUGGAAAGUUCAGUCCAAAAAUCACUGAACCAUUCUUCGGAUGGUUUCACAUAGUAAAUUAUUGGUUUCUCUCCUUGAUGGAUUCUAUUUUUCA